This 253-nucleotide ribosomal RNA is filed under the name uncultured bacterium. RNAcentral's name for it is "partial 16S ribosomal RNA". It matches the Rfam family "Bacterial small subunit ribosomal RNA", at positions 524 to 776 of the family's 1533-position model. The record is from RNAcentral.
UACGUAGGGGGCAAGCGUUGUCCGGAUUUACUGGGCGUAAAGGGCGUGCAGGCGGUCUGUUAAGUUCAGGGUGAAAGCUCCCGGCUCAACUGGGAGAGGUCCUUGGAUACUGGUGGACUUGAGGGAGGCAGAGGAAAGUGGAAUUCCCGGUGUAGUGGUGAUAUGCGUAGAUAUCAUGAGGAAUACCAGAGGCGAAGGCGGCUACCUGGACAAUUGCUGACGCUCAGGCACGAAAGCGUGGGGAGCAAAAGGG